Drosophila busckii is the source of this 137-nucleotide small nucleolar RNA. It matches the Rfam family "Drosophila small cajal body-specific RNA PsiU6-40". Lineage: Eukaryota; Metazoa; Arthropoda; Insecta; Diptera; Drosophilidae. The record is from Rfam.
GUUGGCUGCAUAUCCGAUAUAGCGCUUCAAAUAAAGAUUUAUUUUGGCGUUUAUAACUGCAGCCUACAACAAAGUGCAGGAACUCUGUGUGAUUGCAUUCAAGUCUGUGCAUUGACAUCGUUAUUUCUGCUACAUUA